UAAGUUAAUAAUAUAACAUACCUUAUUCUGAAAAACGAGUACUUUUACUUUGACGAGAGCUCCCUCCAGCUGCAUCACAUCUUCUCCUAAUAUGGACGAGCGGUGGACUUCUUUGGAACAACCCCAGCUCCGGACGUGUGUUUGAACUGCUCAUUAUUUACUGUCUUGGAUAAACCAAACAAGAAAGCAUCGCCAACACUAACACAGAAAUGAGAGCGCCCGCUGACACCGAAGCUCACCUCGAAUUUCUGCGCUUCAAACUGGAGCUUCUCGAUGUUCUGGCCUAUUUCUGAUAGCCGGGGGUCUACGCUGGCGGGGUCUCCCAUCUGAGGGUUCUUCACGUACACGUCUUUCAUCUUAGUUAGAGCGUCCCUGGGAGAGCGAGGAGACAGUGUCAUCUAGCUUUCCCUGCAGCUUCUUCCUCCUCUGCUCUGGUGGCAGGUGGCUGAAGUCCUCCGGUCCAGAACCCUGAGACGACAAGAGGGAGGAAGAAACAAUAAGAUGAAGAUUACUUCUCAGUAUCAGGUGCAGUAUCUCUCUUUGCUGUAAACCAGGACUGAAAGGUUAAGUCACCUGCCGGAGAUACUGCACGCUCUAACACACUCACUGAGAGGUGGGAUGUUUGCGUAUACACUCGAAGGCCUUCCACCUAUUCAGCCGCCACGCCUAAUCUAAUGCUUCCCUGAGAUGCAUCAGAAAUGUAAUAAAGUAUUAGCUACAUCCUGUUAUUGCUCACAGAGUGUUGCAGAGCGAGCUGCAUGACGGGGCUGUUCUCUGAAAGGACAGCGUGUUCUUAAAUGGAAGUUGUGUGAGAGAGUGUGUGAGUGAGUGUGUGAGUGUGUGAGUGAGUGAGUGAGUGAGAGGUUUCUUGGCUCAUAUGUCCUGAUGAGAAGGUUUCCAGUCUGUAACUGAAGUGAUGAGUCAGACUGCUCGGCAGCCUCUCACAUGCAUCUUUCUGUCUGUGUGGAGCCUCCAAGAGUUCAAACUCAAGUCGAUGCAAAGUUGUGAAAUAUAAUCAAUAAAGUAAAAUAUUAAAUUAUGACAUGUAUUUAUAUUAACAGAGAUCAUUCUUAUUAUAUUAUAGUUUUGAUCUCAAAAUGUGUGUGCAUUCAACAAAGUCACGUUUAUUUAAAGGGACAGUUCACCCCUCUCACCUGUAGUGAGUUAUUUAUUCAUCUACAUUGUUUGGGUGCAACUCGUCCACAGAUUGUGUUGUGAGAAGUCGGAACUAUUUUCUUGACCGUAUCACAGCUUUUUCCUUUCACAAUACAUUGUUCUUAUGCCUUCGUCUGUUUUAUUUCUAUCGUUUACAUGUUCUAUUGCUCUGAUACCUGUUCUUGCUAUUUGCUGCCUUUCUUUGUUAUUCCUUUGAUUGCUUUCUUUGUGCUGUUUAUGCUUUAGCACUUUGAAGUACAACGUGCACUGACUGAAUAGGUCUGGGCCUGAUUGGAUCUUAUUGAGACGGGUCACAGCGGCACCACAGGGGGGGGGGGGGGGAGCUACGGACUUCACUGCACGUGAAGCCGGGUCAAAACCACACAAACAGCUCCCUGUAUCAGCGCACAACACUUACCAGGCAUGCAACACAACACAGAUCACAUCUAUCAGCAUGCAGACACAUGCUCAUGUGUGUUAGUGUUCACAGUCUCUAUGCACCGCAAGACAAACUAAAACACUUGUGUAGGUAAAGUGUAAACACCAAACUACAGCUCAACUACAGACGCUAGGAACUACAGAAAGAGAUUUAUAAAACAUAUUAGGUAGAGGAUGUUGAGAUAAAGUCCUCUUAGUUCUGCAUUAAUGUGCUUAUUUGAUGCAUGAUAUUUGCGCUUAGCUUAGCUUAGCAUAAAGACUGGAAGCAGCAUGCAUAUGCUAAGUUAUGCUACAUAAACUGUUGGACAUAUUAUAAUACAUUUGCA
Long non-coding RNA from Cottoperca gobio, 1919 nucleotides. RefSeq lists it as uncharacterized. The transcript has 4 exons. The record is from RefSeq and is a predicted model, not a curated record. NCBI's taxonomy places the organism in Eukaryota, Metazoa, Chordata, Actinopteri, Perciformes, Bovichtidae.